GCUCCCAUGGCGUAGUGGUCACUGCGCUCGCCUUGCACGCGGGAGACCCGGGUUCGACUCUCGGCGGGGUCA
Molecule: transfer RNA, 72 nt
Filed under: Diaphorina citri (Asian citrus psyllid)
Lineage: Eukaryota; Metazoa; Arthropoda; Insecta; Hemiptera; Psyllidae
Rfam family: tRNA
About the family: Transfer RNA (tRNA) molecules are approximately 80 nucleotides in length. Their secondary structure includes four short double-helical elements and three loops (D, anti-codon, and T loops).
Source: Rfam by way of RNAcentral